CCAGUAAAAUAAUAAAAAAUAAAAGUAAAACUAUCGCAUAACGUAUAAACCCAAACAUGUUUGAUAAACAGGGAUCGAGUUUUAGAAAUUCGUACCACUACUACUUUACUUGAUGAUGUAAUCCGAGUGAUGGCCCGACUACAUGGAUUACAAAAUAUUUAGUGUUAUCGUUAAUAUUAUCGUGUUCAAAAAACUGUUCGGUGCAGAUGAGUUUGUGGAUUAAUCGCUAAACAAUAAAGCUCAGGAU
This is a non-coding RNA of Cinara cedri, 247 nucleotides long. NCBI's taxonomy places the organism in Eukaryota, Metazoa, Arthropoda, Insecta, Hemiptera, Aphididae. The record is from the annotation of a GenBank genome assembly.